This 653-nucleotide long non-coding RNA is filed under the name Oryza brachyantha (malo sina). RNAcentral describes it as "long non-coding RNA (OBRA_LNC001108)". Lineage: Eukaryota; Viridiplantae; Streptophyta; Magnoliopsida; Poales; Poaceae. The record is from RNAcentral.
UCCUCGACUUCGGUGACUGCGUCCCCUUCUUUGUCGUCUCGGUCCUCCGCCUUGAUGACUGCGUCCUCUUCUGUGUCAUCUCUUGUCUCUCUCCUAUAUUCCCUCCCGCAGUCAUAGCGGGAGUGUCAUGGAUGAUAGCGAUGACACGAAUUCUUUUGACUGGAGUUGUCGACGAUGAUUUGUUGUAAUGUUUGUCGAGGUAGUUGAUCUUGUGAUAGCCGUGGUUGAUGUAGAUAUGGUAGUUGAUAUGGCCGCAGAUAGCCGAAGGCGAAAAAAGAUUAAAGACGGAGCUACGAUCAUAGAUUAGACACUUUACAGAUGUCAAAGGAUACCAUUGGAAGCGUCUUUGCAUAUGUCAGAGGAUGUCCUUUGGUCAUCUUGCAGAUGUCAGAGAACGCCGUUGACGUCGGGUCACCAAUUUUUGGUUGUACUCCGUAUGUCAUGUAGGAGGUCACCACCAUAGUGAUGUCAGGUUGAUGCAGUCUUUUCUCGUUGUAGAUGACACGGUUGAUGCCGACAUCGAUGAAGCGUCUUGUAGAGAUUCCUGUCAGAGGACGGAAGAUGAAUGUCCAUCGUUGUGGACGGAGCGGCGUCGUGUUGUUUCCAUGUUGAUGUAGAUCAUCGGUAAUGUUACUUCAAUGCAUGUUGAUGGC